CCCACUGUAGCUCUGUUGGUAGAGCAUGGCGCUUGCAACGCCAAGGUUGUGGGUUCGUUUCCCAUGGGGGA
This is a non-coding RNA of Salmo salar (Atlantic salmon), 71 nucleotides long. NCBI's taxonomy places the organism in Eukaryota, Metazoa, Chordata, Actinopteri, Salmoniformes, Salmonidae. The record is from Rfam.